AUGGAGUUAGGACUGAGCUGGGUUUUCUUUGCUGCUCUUUUACAAAGUGUUCUGUGUGAAGUGCAGCUGGUGGAGUUUGGGGGAGGCUUGGUGAAACCUGGAGGGUCCUUGAAACUCUCCUGCAUAGCCUCUGGAUUCACCAUCGAUGGCUAUGGCAUGAGUUGGGUCCGCCAGGCUCCAGGGAAGGGGCUGGAGUGGGUGGCAAAGCUUGUGGAAAGCACAUAUUAUGCAGACCCUGUGAAAGGCCGAUUCACCAUCUCCAGAGACAAUGAGAAGAACACUGUGUCCCUGCAAAUGAGCAGUCUGAGAUCUGAGGACACGGCCAUGUAUUACUGUGCAAGACCCACAUGCCCCAUUAUCAUGACUGCAUUUAAAUCAGUUCUCACUACAGUGAAGCUGCAGCAUGAAAUAGACCCAAAGCCUACCUCCUUCACACCAGUAGACCAUUCACAUUCAUCCUUAUCCCCCAUCAUCCCGGCUCUGCUGAUCCAGGGGACAUUCAGCCUGAUGCAUCCUCAGGCGGAAGGUUAA
Nannospalax galili (Upper Galilee mountains blind mole rat) is the source of this 531-nucleotide non-coding RNA. The record is from the annotation of a RefSeq genome assembly. Lineage: Eukaryota; Metazoa; Chordata; Mammalia; Rodentia; Spalacidae.